RNAcentral lists this microRNA precursor (65 nucleotides) under Medicago truncatula (barrel medic). Its description in RNAcentral is "MIR2629 microRNA precursor family". It matches the Rfam family "MIR2629 microRNA precursor family". Lineage: Eukaryota; Viridiplantae; Streptophyta; Magnoliopsida; Fabales; Fabaceae. The record is from Rfam by way of RNAcentral.
UUUUUUUUUUUUCGUCGGCAGUUAACUGCCAAAGGAACUUCGGUAGUUAACUGCCGCAGGGACUU